CACGUAGGCGGAUCAGAAAGUCAGAGGUGAAAUCCCAGGGCUCAACCUUGGAACUGCCUUUGAAACUCCUGGUCUUGAGGUCGAGAGAGGUGAGUGGAAUUCCGAGUGUAGAGGUGAAAUUCGUAGAUAUUCGGAGGAACACCGGUGGCGAAGGCGGCUCACUGGCUCGAUACUGACGCUGAGGUGCGAAAGCGUGGGGAGCAAACA
This 207-nucleotide ribosomal RNA is filed under the name uncultured bacterium. RNAcentral describes it as "partial 16S ribosomal RNA". It matches the Rfam family "Bacterial small subunit ribosomal RNA", at positions 568 to 774 of the family's 1533-position model. The record is from RNAcentral.